RNAcentral lists this ribosomal RNA (458 nucleotides) under Coniolaria murandii (nom. inval.). RNAcentral's name for it is "eukaryotic LSU rRNA". It matches the Rfam family "Eukaryotic large subunit ribosomal RNA", at positions 107 to 575 of the family's 3401-position model. Lineage: Eukaryota; Fungi; Ascomycota; Sordariomycetes; Xylariales; Xylariaceae. The record is from RNAcentral.
GCUCAAAUUUGAAAUCUGGCCCUCGGGUCCGAGUUGUAAUUUGUAGAGGAUGCUUUUGGCGCGGUGCCUUCCGAGUUCCCUGGAACGGGACGCCUUAGAGGGUGAGAGCCCCGUACGGUUGGACACCAAGCCUCUGUAAAGCUCCUUCGACGAGUCGAGUAGUUUGGGAAUGCUGCUCUAAAUGGGAGGUAAAUUUCUUCUAAAGCUAAAUAUUGGCCAGAGACCGAUAGCGCACAAGUAGAGUGAUCGAAAGAUGAAAAGCACUUUGAAAAGAGGGUUAAAUAGCACGUGAAAUUGUUGAAAGGGAAGCGUUUGCGACCAGACCUCUCCCCGGCGGAUCAUCCGGCGUUCUCGCCGGUGCACUCCGCCGGGCUGAGGCCAGCAUCGGUUCCCGCGGGGGGACAAAAGCGGGGGGAACGUAGCUCCCUCGGGAGUGUUAUAGCCCUCCGCAUAAUACC